RNAcentral lists this ribosomal RNA (253 nucleotides) under uncultured bacterium. RNAcentral's name for it is "partial 16S ribosomal RNA". It matches the Rfam family "Bacterial small subunit ribosomal RNA", at positions 524 to 776 of the family's 1533-position model. The record is from RNAcentral.
UACGAAGGGGGCUAGCGUUGUUCGGAUUUACUGGGCGUAAAGGGCGUGCAGGCGGUUUGUUAAGUCUAGGGUGAAAGCUCCCGGCUCAACUGGGAGAGGUCCUUGGAUACUGGCAAACUUGAGGGAGGCAGAGGGUAGUGGAAUUCCCGGUGUAGUGGUGAAAUGCGUAGAUAUCGGGAGGAACACCAGUGGCGAAGGCGACUACCUGGCCUGUUCUUGACGCUGAGGCGCGAAAGCUAGGGGAGCAAACGGG